Molecule: unclassified non-coding RNA, 75 nt
Filed under: Candidatus Kentrum sp. DK
Lineage: Bacteria; Pseudomonadati; Pseudomonadota; Gammaproteobacteria
Source: RNAcentral
AGGAACCGGAUGCGGAAAAAUCACACAUCCGGGUCUGUGCGGGGGAGGUUCUAUAACGGGCGUUCCUGCCGCGAG